UUGACAACCCUGGAGAAUAAAGCCUGCUCGUCCCGAGCACAGGUACAACACAGCCAGAAGAGCUGCAAUUUUUUCCACAUUGCCCUAACAGUAAAUCCCAACCUCUGCUCAAAGGGAGUGCUUCUAGGAGCAAAAGGACAGUUUAAUCUCCAUGUCCAUUCAUUUUUUGGUCUUU
Molecule: small RNA, 175 nt
Filed under: Dromaius novaehollandiae (emu)
Lineage: Eukaryota; Metazoa; Chordata; Aves; Casuariiformes; Dromaiidae
Description: TUC338 (ENSDNVG00000001061.1)
Source: RNAcentral